AUACUUACCUGGCAGGGGAGAUACCAUGAUCACGAAGGUGGUUUUCCCAGGGCAAGGCUUAUCCAUUGCACUCCGGAUGUGCUGACCCCUGCGAUUUCCCCAAAUGUGGGAAACUCGACUGCAUAAUUUGUGGUAGUGGGGGACUGUGUUCGCCCUUUCCCCAA
This 164-nucleotide small nuclear RNA is filed under the name Cebus imitator (Panamanian white-faced capuchin). RNAcentral's name for it is "U1 spliceosomal RNA (ENSCCAG00000007404.1)". It matches the Rfam family "U1 spliceosomal RNA". From Rfam's summary of the family: U1 is a small nuclear RNA (snRNA) component of the spliceosome (involved in pre-mRNA splicing). Its 5' end forms complementary base pairs with the 5' splice junction, thus defining the 5' donor site of an intron. The record is from Rfam by way of RNAcentral. Lineage: Eukaryota; Metazoa; Chordata; Mammalia; Primates; Cebidae.